This 1397-nucleotide long non-coding RNA is filed under the name Homo sapiens (human). Its description in RNAcentral is "HSALNT0375990". Lineage: Eukaryota; Metazoa; Chordata; Mammalia; Primates; Hominidae. The record is from RNAcentral.
UGUCUUUUUGUUUUAAUAUAUCUUAGAUCUAUUGAUACUUUUCUAUUUUUGACUGGCUUAUACAAACAAUUGCUUAUCUUCAGUCUGUUUCUCCAUUAUUAUUUCAAUCUAUGGUGUGAUGCCUAUUUUUUUUCUGCAAAGUGCUUAACAUAUUUCUUUACUGAGACAGGAAAAUAGGGUCUGGAGGCAGGGAACUGAAGGUCGAUUGACACUUCAGCUAUGACAGGAAAUAUCCUCUCCAUAGGACAUAUGCCGAAUAAAUGAGUUUAUAACUUUACUUCAUCCUCUUCACUUAUAUAGGGCAUACCCCAAGUAACCAAUGGAAUCUUCUAGAGGGUAUUUAAACUCCCAAAACUUCUGUAGCGGGGCCCUUAAGCCCCUACACUUGGGCCCACUCCCACAUUGUGAAAUGUACUUUCAUUUUCAAUAAAUCUCUUCAUUCCUUCCCAGCUUUGUUUGUGCGUUUUGUACAACUCUUUGUCCAAGAUGACAAGAACCUGGACACCCUCCACCGGUGACAUAUUUUGGUGAGCCAGCCAGGAGGAAAAGUCUUUCAGACGCUGAUUCCUGGUAGCUCAUCGGAAAUUGAGGACAAUUGGCUGGGGUCACUCCCAGGUACUGCAUGAAGGUCUAGGAAUGAAUGCGAAUAAUUGCCCGGCCCAAAAAGGGGAAGGACUUUUUAAAAAAUCUUUUCUGCAUGAUCCCUGAUCCCUACCUGCAGGGCAGCUCAGAGCAAACUCAAACAUGUUUCAGGACAAAGAGAAGUGGAAAACAGGUCUGUUACGUGCACUUAUGGGGUGUACUCUUAUUUGUGAAGAACUUUGCAGCCAGCCUUAUACAUGGAUAAGCUUACACUUUGAUAGAUAAAAGACGAAGGCCCAAUGUAGGUAAGAAACUUUAAUGGUACAUACAUUGACUCAUAAUCAGUGAAAAACAAAACGUUGGUUCACUCCUCUUAACCCACACCAUGGGUUAAAGAAAACAUUGCCAGGAGGCCUUCACUCUUUUAGAAGAGCAUCAUUUGUCAAGUCCUUUUUCCAUGGUUCAGAGUAAAGAAGCAAUGAAUAGAAAUGUAUCCCCCAUGAUAGGCUCUGUAGAAAAUUCUGCUGUAAAGGCUACAGUUACACAACAGAUUUUAAAUUCUCUUGUGAAAGUUAUGAUAGAAUUGACUGAACAAAGAAGUAUCUGUGCAGCUGCUGGCACUUGUGGCCUAUGGAAAAAUACAUCAAAUGAAGAUUAUAGAAAUUCAGUGGGAGGGGAUCAACAACGAGACUGCUUACUUAAGUGAGUAGACUCUUUAUCUAACUUAUUCUUUGAUCUAUUUGACUUUAGGAGGUUUGGCUUAUGGGGACCUUGUGUAAGAGGCACACUCCAAACUCUUGGUAUUAUCCUUCCAA